GGGAGGAGCUUGAACUAAGAAACAGUUGACUAAAUAAAUAUAUAAAAUAUCAGCAGGUGGGGGAUAAAGCAAGGUAAGGAGUGAGAAGGACCAAAGAGCAAUGAUAUUUUAACAGUUUUUCUCAUUUAUUUUUUAAAGAAGAGUUGAUUUACAAUGUUGUAUUAGUUUCUGGUGUACAGCAAAGUGAUUCAGAUAUAUAUAUAUGUAUGUAUUUUGUAAUCAUUUCCAUUAUUCUUUAUUAUAAGACAUUAUAGAUAUUAUUACCCGAGAAUAUAGUUCUCUGUGCUAUGCAGUAGGACCUUGUUUCUCUAUUUUAUGUCAAGUCAUUUGUAUCUCUUAGUCUCAAACUCCUAAUUUUUCCCUCCCCCACCCCCUUUCCCGUUUAGUAACCAUAAGUUUGUCUUCUAUAUCGGUCUAUUUCUGUUUUGUAAAUGAGUUCAUUUGUAUCAUAUUUUAGAUUCCACAUAUAAGUGACUUCGUAUGCUAUUUGUCUUUCUCUGAUUUCCCUUAGCGCAAUAAUCUCUAGGUCCAUCCAUGUUGCUGCAAAUGGCAUUAUUUCAUUCUUUUUAUGGCUGAGUAGUAUUCCACUGUAUAUGUAUGCACCAUUUUAUUGAUGCAUCUGUCAGUGAACAAGUUGCUUCCAUGUCUUGGCUUUGUAAAUGGGGCUACUGUGACGUAGGGGUGCAUGUAUCUUUUUGAAUGAUAGUUUUGUCUGGGUGUCUGGAUGUAGUAUCAUGUGAUAGCUCUAUAUUUGGUUUUUAAAGGAACCUCCAUACUGUUUCCAUAGUGGCUUCACCAGGUUACAUGCAACUGGUGCUAUUUUAGAUGUGGUGAUUGGGCUCUGACGUGGGAGGUGCCGUGAUGCAGUGACCUGUUGAUUAAAGCGAAAAGCAUAGGGAAGCAUCCAGCACAGGCUUGGCAUGUGGUUAGUGCUUAAUCAAUGGUCAGUGUCCUUCUAAUUCCUAUCAUCAUUAACCUUGAUAAUAUGGUACCUGCAUGCCCUUUUGAAAUUUGGGGAGUCUGUAAAGUAUUAUAGGAAGCUUGGUUUAAGCACACUUGGAAUGGAAUUUUACAGCUAUCUAUAUAUAAUUUUUUAAAAUUUUCAUUUACAAUUUAACUUUGGAGGUAUUGAACAACCUUUAAAGGAAAAAUCAACAAAAGCUGUGUGGUUAAAUAUCUUGCAAUUUUUUUUUUCCCUCUAGUACAAUUAAACCUUUCUUGUCCACCUCCUUUGAAUCAGGCUCUGUGCUGGGGACAGAGGAAACAAAUGUGUGAAACUGAGUCUUUGCCCUCAGGAAGCUUAGACUCUUAUUUUUUCCCCUAAUAAUUGAGGCCUCAUGUGUUAUUUGACUCAGAGCUGCAGGAACGCUUUAUCUGCUGACAAGGCUCUGUGGAGUUUAGAAAAACCAAGUUGCAUUUGAGUGUUAACUUUGAUGUUUGUUUAGUUCUAUAAAAUAUGUAAGAGGCUUUUCCAUUAGUGAGUAAGACUUUCAAAAAGCUUUCAGAAUCUCAUGUCACAAGCAGUCGUUAAGUAUUGCUAAAGGGGAGUCCCAGAGACUGACAGCUUGGAAGUGUAAGCACAGUAUGUGGCUGAGGAUGUGCGGUCGGAGCGAAGCCCCCGUUCCCAUCUUAAUUGAGGUCAGGUGGGUCCAGCUGAUUCAUUUGGUCUGAAAAGUCCAGAUUGCUUGGGAAUCUACAGUCCACUUGGCAACGCUCUCUUAUCCUUUGGCCUUUCUAAGCAGCAUAUCACCUUCUGUCUGGGGAAAGUUAGGGAUGAGAAUCUCAGCCUGGGUUUAUUGCAGUGAUGGAAUGAAGUGGGAUUUGGGAAAAAUGAUUUACACCAGAGAGACCCAUAUGGGGUGCCGUAAGUGACACAGAUGAAACACACCUCGAAAUUGCUUUCCGCAGUGUUUUUGUUAUUUGUGAGGCUGCGAGCUUGCUUUGGGAGCAGACGUGGCACCUCCUCAGACCUACACGGACUCUGUUACUGAACCAAAUGUCGGUCCCCUUUCCUGUGCAGUGAAGCCCAUGCACUGACACCGGGCUGCGGGGCAGGAAAAUGCAGCGUUUAUUGCAGGCUCCAAACAAGGAGUCCAGGCAGCUAGGGCUCAAAGUCCCUGAACUCUCCAGUGGCUUUCAGGGAAAGGUUUUUAAAGACAGGGUGAGGGAGGGGUGUGUGGGGUGUGUGGUCAGCUUGUGGCCAUUCUUCUGCUAGGUUGCCGGUGAGGUACUGGGAGUGAACAUCAUUCACCUUCUGGUUCCAGUUGCUCUGGGGUCUAAGUGCCUGUGGGCAGCAUAUGGUUAACUUCUUCCACCUGGUGGAGGUUUCAGUAUCUGCAAAACAGCUCAAAGGACAGGCUCAGAAUAUGAUCUAUAGCCUUUGAGGAGGAACUAAAGGACUUUGUUUAAGGGCUAAACUAGUAUUAUUUUGUCUUGCCUGAUUGUUCUUCUGUGCUUUUGGGUUUUCUCACUUCUCUGAUUCAGUUUGUUUUUUGAAACACAGGGAAAGCUUAAGAGGCUAAGGUUUUACUGCAAACAAGACUCAGGUGGAAGAUGUGGGGGUUCUAUCCUGGGAGGGCCCCUUAGGGUCCUGCUCAGUUAAAACUCUGAACCCUGGCUUUUCACCUGCUACCUCCUUCUUCUGCUUUUUGCUCUUCAUGCCCUUCCCUCCCCUCCUCUUCCCUUCCCUUCCCUGCCCUUCCCUCCCCUUCUCUUCCCUUCCCUGCCCUUCCCUUCCCUUCCCCCUCGUACCCUGCCCUUCUCUACCUACCUUCCCUACUCUCCCCUCCCCUCCCCUCCCCUUCCCUAGCCGUCCUUCCCUACCCUGGCCUGUCCUAUCCUGUUUUAUCCUAUCCUAUCCUGUUCCCUAUUCCAUUUUCCUUGGCUGCCUCCCCCAGAAGGUGUGUAAGCCUUGUGAAGGCAGGGACUUGGCCUUGUUCACAUCCGUAUACCCAGUGCUUGGUGCAGAGAAGAUGCUUAUGGAAUAUUUGCUCCAUUCAUGAGUCGCCACUGUGGCGGCUGAGAGCAGCAGCAGUAACAACAAAACCCUGGGGGUCCAGGAGAGCUUGGCUGAGGACAGUCAAAACUCUGUAAAGUCAGAGCAAGGCUUCUAGUAUUCAUCUGGAUGGCAGAGGACCUGAUGCUCUGACUAAGACCAUGUGAAGCAGUGAUAUAUGAAAUCAACUCUCUUUUUUCCAACCUUUAUGAUAAAAAAUGCUCCUAUGGGCCGAAAAGUAAAAGUACUAUAGGGAUGAGGCAAAUACGUUGUUUGCAUUGAUGGUUUUAAAAUACUUUUAUUUAUUUAUUUUUUUUUAUUUUUGCCAUUUGGAUAAGGGCUGUUAUGCUUCAGCUUUAACACAAGACUCAUUGAUUCAGAUUCUGGGUGGGCGUGCAGGUUGAUUAACAUCCACUGCUCUAGAAACAUCAUCUUUUUGGGGGGGUUUGGGUUUUGUUUUUUUUUUUUUUGCACCACACCUUUAUUAGCAAUAAUGUGUUUAGUUCUUUAAUUGGGCACAAGGGCAGGGCUCUUUAAAAGUUUUGUUGGGAUAUAGUUUACUCACAAUGUUGUAUUAGUUUCAGGUGUACAGCAAAAUGAGUCAGAUAUAUAUAUAUUUUUCUUUUUUCCAUAUAGGUUAUUAUAGAUAUUGAGUAGAUUUCCCUGGGACACACAGCGGAUCCUUGCCAGCUAUCUGUUCUAUCUGUGCCCAUCCCAUAUUCCCCCAGUUUAUCCCCUCCCCACCCCACCCCUUGGCUUCCCCUUUGGGACUUAUAAGCUUGAUUUUAAAAUCUGUGAGUUUGUUUCUGUUUUAUACAUUCUUCUGUACCUUUUUAAUCAGCUAAAUGGUAUCAUUUGAUACUGUGUUUGACUUACUUCACUUAUUAUCAUGAUCUCUGAGUCUAUCCGUGUUGCUGCACAUGGCAUUAUUUCAUCUUUUUAUGGCUGAAUAAUAGUCCAUUGUGUAUAUACCACAUCUUCUGUAUCCAUUCCUCUGUGAAUGGACAUUAGGUCCAUGUCUCGGCUAUUGUGAAUAGUGCUGCCAUGAACAUUGGGCUGCAUGCAUCUUUUAGAAUUAUGGUUUUUCUCCGAUAUGCCUGGUAGUAUGAUGCUGGAUCAUGUGGUCGUUCUAUGUUUAGUUUUUGAAGGCAUCUCCAGGCUGUACCUCAUAGUGGUGGUGCUAAUUUGCUUUCCCACAAACAGUGUAGGAGGGUUCCGUUUUCUCCACGCCCUCUCCAGCGUUUACUGUCUGUAGCCUUUUUGAUGAUGGCCGUUCUCACUUGGGUGAGGUGGUACCUCAUUGAAGAUUUCUCUAAUAAUUAGUGAUGCUGCCCAUCUCUUCACGUGCUUUUUGGGUAUCUGUCCAUCUUCUUUGGAGAAAUGUCUGUUUAGAUCUUCUGACCAUUUUUUGAUUGGGUUGUUUGUUUUUGUGAUAUAAAGCUUCAUGAGAUAUCUGCAUAUUUUGGAGAUUAAGCCCUUGUCAGUCACUUGGUUUGCAAAGACUUCCUCUCAUAGAAACAUCAUCUUUUUCUUUGAUGCCUUCCUUGAGAUAACAUGCUUUGAUGACACUGUUUGCAAAUCUGAAUGGCUUGAUCUAAGAGUCGCCUACGCUGGUAUUCCUUUGUGAAUUCAUAUAAUGUUAAGAGAACCCUUGGAUAUAAGAGAUUUUCUUAAUGUUGCUGUAGGUUAUUUACAUAGCUCGUUAAUCGUCUGCAUGUCAACUGAGAGUCAUUGUAAAAGGCUCAGGAUAUUCCCUCUCUUCCGAACCUCACGUCUGUACACACCGUUCGUCUAGGUUAAAGCCAAACCACCCCUCUCAGGAAGUGAAGUUCAGGAAACCACUCAAACAUCUCAGCAAUUACUGAUACCAAAGAACUUUCUGUCACCCACUCCUUCCACUGAGGAAUGUUUUGUAAGCGCUGCUGUUGAAGCACAGGUGGAAACCCGUGAACGUGAAGACAUCCUGCCCAGAGCAGGAAGCUGCCAGAACACCCUGCCAGACCCCCCUCUGUCUCUGCCUGUGCAGGAGAGCGGCAGCCGUGGCCGAGUUGUUGGGCUUACAUGAAUAAUGACUGGGCGGGAAGUCGAUGCUGGACUUAAACACAGACUCCUCUCUACAUGUUGUCGAAGCACUGAGUUGAGCUUUCUGACUGGUGGUGUCUUAGAAACCAAAAUUUCUCCUACUGCUUAAAGGGUUUAACUGGAGAGAGGGAUGCAGUACGUAAAUCUUUAAACCUCUCUUUUGGAUUACAAAGAUAUUCAUGUCUGAUGUUUAGUUUUGUCUUCCUGACAACAAUGACCCACUCCUCCAUUUUCAGACAAAUAAUUAAACACAAACAACAGGCACUUGGGCCGACAAGAAAGACUCCGUCUGCAACCUCUGCCGUUCGGGUCUUAGGGCAGAAAUGUGAUCGCUCUGCUCCAAUGAAGAUCUCUGAAUGAGGGACUGUGGUUUACUCUUAGCCUUCCCUCUAGUGGAAUAGAAAAGUCCAAGUACUCCAAACGCACAUAGAAGGCUUGUUCUUGUUUUUUUUUUGUUUGUUUGUUUUUUGUCUUUUCUAGGGCUGCACUUGCGGCAUAUGGAGGUUGCCAGACUAGGGGUUUAAUCAGAGCUGUAGCCACUGGCCUCCACCACAGCCACAGCAACACAGGAUCCAAGCCACAUCUUUGACCUACACCACAGCUCAUGGCCAUGCCAGAUCCUUAACCCACUGAGGAAGGCCAGGGAUUGAACCCGCAACCUCAUGGCUCCUAGUCAGGUUCACUGACCUUUGAGCCACGACAGGAACUCUCUUGUUCUUGUUUUUUAUGCAUCUUCUCAUCCAUGUUUUUCAGAACAAGUAGCCAUAAUAGACAUUUUCCUGGAACAUGUGGUAAAUUACUAAGGAUAAAACAGGAGGGCUGCCCAGGAGGGUUGGACCCUGCUCUCUGAAAGGCACAGGGCAGCCACAAAGAUUCCAAGAGUAGCGGUUGCAGAGACCACAGUGUGAGCCAGGAAAAGUACAAGUGUGAGGUUUCUAAACCCAAAGACUUGCCCAGCGUGACCUCAACAGUCAAGUCAUCAAAUCAGAACCCACUGGAUCGAGGGACAAGGUUUUCAAACAAAAAAACUAAGAGUGAGGCCAGAGCAAUUUCUGGACAGAUGGGGGGCUGUAGAAUGGGCAGGAGGUGGGAGGUGGGGGCUUAUGAUCUAGUGCCUGUGUCCGCAGGCACCACCAUGCCCUGAGCCUUGAAAAUUACAGUGACAGAAGCAAAGGACAAGUGUGAGAGAUCACGGGCGGGAGUCCUGGCGGGAUUUACAAAGAAAUAGUCUUUUAGGAGUUCCCUGGUGACUCAGCAGGUUAAGAAUCUGGUGUUGUCACUGCUGUGGCAUGGACUCU
Molecule: long non-coding RNA, 6375 nt
Filed under: Sus scrofa (pig)
Lineage: Eukaryota; Metazoa; Chordata; Mammalia; Artiodactyla; Suidae
Description: lncRNA (ENSSSCG00005019416.1)
Source: RNAcentral